CCGUAGAAGGUGAAGUACAAGAGGGUGCAGUACAUGAAGAAGAAGUACCAUAAGAAUUUGACAGCAGUCCAUUCAAACCCGAUCAUUGCAUACACGAUGACACCAUAGAAAGCUGAUUGUACAAAUACAUAAGGCGUAAGGUAUGGCAGAAUACAUUCCAGCAGCUUUUUCUCUGUAAAAUACAGUACGUUCAACGGCUACAACAGGCUGGACAGAUGAUGAAUUUUGUACACCAAGGAAGAGAGUUGCAGCAUACAUAGAUCCCAUAGCGUUGAUAAGAUCCUGACUCCGACUCCUGUGAUCAACAAAGCUCGAAUAGUUUAGCUUAAAUACUAUAAGAUGUUUAUCUUUAAAGUUAAUAUUUACUUGUUAUUGUGAUUUGUACUUACACUUUGGUACCAAGAUCCCAAAACAUUGUGCCAAAGACAAGUGCUAUGAAUGUUGUGAAAAUGAA
Molecule: non-coding RNA, 454 nt
Organism: Solanum lycopersicum (tomato)
Lineage: Eukaryota; Viridiplantae; Streptophyta; Magnoliopsida; Solanales; Solanaceae
Source: RefSeq, a predicted model, not a curated record